UACGGAGGGGGCUAGCGUUGUUCGGAAUUACUGGGCGUAAAGCGCGCGUAGGCGGCUUGCCAAGCCAGAGGUGAAAUCCCGGGGCUUAACCCCGGAACUGCCUUUGGAACUGGUAGGCUAGAGUCUCGGAGGGGGUGGUGGAAUUCCAAGUGUAGAGGUGAAAUUCGUAGAUAUUUGGAGGAACACCGGUGGCGAAGGCGACCACCUGGACGAGUACUGACGCUGAGGUGCGAAAGCGUGGGGAGCAAACAGG
This 253-nucleotide unclassified non-coding RNA is filed under the name uncultured Rickettsiales bacterium. RNAcentral's name for it is "contains 16S-23S intergenic spacer region". It matches the Rfam family "Bacterial small subunit ribosomal RNA", at positions 524 to 776 of the family's 1533-position model. Lineage: Bacteria; Pseudomonadati; Pseudomonadota; Alphaproteobacteria; Rickettsiales. The record is from RNAcentral.